This 530-nucleotide long non-coding RNA is filed under the name Physcomitrium patens. RNAcentral's name for it is "long non-coding RNA (PPAT_LNC007023)". Lineage: Eukaryota; Viridiplantae; Streptophyta; Bryopsida; Funariales; Funariaceae. The record is from RNAcentral.
AGGUGCUCAAAGUUAGAUUGUGGAUUUUGUACCUACUAUUACUCUUUUAGGCAUAACACAUGCAUAUAAAAAGUAAUGAAGGAUUGGCAACUAGAGGUAAAGAAAGAACUUUUUUAAUUAUAUAAUUUGCAUGUUGCUUGAUGAAUUUUAAGUUAGGAUGAAUUGAAGUCAAAACUUAUAAUCUAAGGGUAGUUAGUAACCCAAUUUACUAGUGGUUGUAUUUUGAGCCAUAUCUUAAGUAAUUUGAAAAGAUUUUGGCUAAAAUUUUCUAAAAAUAUAUAUUAUCAUAUUAAUAAACUUUUAUAUUUAAGUUUUAUAGCAUUUGGAAUUUUGAAAUAUGGAAAAAAUAGUAUUAAAGUGCUUCUAAAUUAGAGUUUAAUGCACUUACUAGGAUUUCUAAGAUGCCAGAUAAUCCGUAGUAGAUUUAUGGUUUAUUUUUUUUAUUGCAAAGCUUAAAGGUAUAGCCUAAAUUUUCUAAAAAUUUGAAAAAAAAUUAAAUAAUUAGAUUAAGAAUUAUGAAUUUCUAAAAU